UACGAAGGGUGCAAGCGUUACUCGGAAUUACUGGGCGUAAAGCGUGCGUAGGUGGUUUUUUAAGUCCGUUGUGAAAGCCCUGGGCUCAACCUGGGAAUGGCAGUGGAUACUGGAAAGCUAGAGUGCGGUAGAGGGUAGUGGAAUUCCCGGUGUAGCAGUGAAAUGCGUAGAGAUCGGGAGGAACACCAGUGGCGAAGGCGGCUCUCUGGGCAGAUACUGACACUGAGACGCGAAAGCGUGGGUAGCAAACAGGG
This 254-nucleotide ribosomal RNA is filed under the name uncultured bacterium. RNAcentral describes it as "partial 16S ribosomal RNA". It matches the Rfam family "Bacterial small subunit ribosomal RNA", at positions 524 to 777 of the family's 1533-position model. The record is from RNAcentral.